RNAcentral lists this transfer RNA (64 nucleotides) under Strophurus ciliaris (Spiny-tailed gecko). RNAcentral's name for it is "tRNA-Cys". Lineage: Eukaryota; Metazoa; Chordata; Lepidosauria; Squamata; Diplodactylidae. The record is from RNAcentral.
CAGUCUUGUAGUGGACGCACGUCGAAUUGCAAAUUCGAAAACGUACCCAAAGGGUACCUGGACU